RNAcentral lists this ribosomal RNA (521 nucleotides) under Salmonella enterica subsp. enterica serovar Derby. RNAcentral describes it as "bacterial SSU rRNA". It matches the Rfam family "Bacterial small subunit ribosomal RNA", at positions 889 to 1414 of the family's 1533-position model. The record is from RNAcentral. Lineage: Bacteria; Pseudomonadati; Pseudomonadota; Gammaproteobacteria; Enterobacterales; Enterobacteriaceae.
CAAGUUUGAAACUCAAAGGAAUUGACGGGGGCCCGCACAAGCGGUGGAUUAUGUGGUUUAAUUCGAUGAUACGCGAGGAACCUUACCAAGGCUUAAAUGGGAAAUGACAGGUUUAGAAAUAGACUUUUCUUCGGACAUUUUUCAAGGUGCUGCAUGGUUGUCGUCAGCUCGUGCCGUGAGGUGUUAGGUUAAGUCCUGCAACGAGCGCAACCCCUGUCACUAGUUGCCAUCAUUCAGUUGGGGACUCUAGUGAGACUGCCUACGCAAGUAGAGAGGAAGGUGGGGAUGACGUCAAAUCAUCACGGCCCUUACGCCUUGGGCCACACACGUGAUACAAUGGCCAGUACAGAGGGCAGCUACCAGGCGACUGGAUGCAAAUCUCGAAAGCUGGUCUCAGUUCGGAUUGGAGUCUGCAACUCGACUCCAUGAAGUCGGAAUCGCUAGUAAUCGCGCAUCAGCCAUGGCGCGGGGAAUACGUUCCCGGGCCUUGUACACACCGCCCGUCAAGCCAUGGAAGUCUG